Molecule: unclassified non-coding RNA, 200 nt
Filed under: soil metagenome
Description: partial internal transcribed spacer 2
Source: RNAcentral
UUAAAUUCAGGGGGUCUUCCCACUUCAUCUGAGGUCUAAUUCAUAGGUUGAACAGCCUUCUCGACUCAAGAAUGACACUUUCACUCAUCUUUAAGCUUUGAAGUCUGCCCAGUUGUUUCUUGUUUGCUGCAUAACAUAGGGUCAGUGGAUUGGAUUCACAAUUAAGUGAAAGCAACUUGCCACCGGCACACACAGUUGCG